UACGUAGGGCGCGAGCGUUGUCCGGAAUUAUUGGGCGUAAAGGGCGCGUAGGCGGUGCCACAAGUCACCUGUGAAAUCUCCGGGCUUAACUCGGAGCCUGCAGGCGAAACUGUGGUGCUGGAGUGUGGGAGAGGUGAGUGGAACUGCGAGUGUAGAGGUGAAAUUCGUAGAUAUUCGCAAGAACACCAGUGGCGAAGGCGGCUCACUGGCCCGAUACUGACGCUGAGGCACGAAAGCGUGGGGAGCAAACAGG
Molecule: ribosomal RNA, 253 nt
Filed under: uncultured bacterium
Lineage: Bacteria
Description: partial 16S ribosomal RNA
Rfam family: Bacterial small subunit ribosomal RNA
Source: RNAcentral